Non-coding RNA from Sulfurimonas sp., 98 nucleotides. The record is from Rfam. Lineage: Bacteria; Pseudomonadati; Campylobacterota; Epsilonproteobacteria; Campylobacterales; Sulfurimonadaceae.
UCUUUAGACCUGUGCAAUGGUGCUUUGAGGUACUGUGUCAGGGUAGGAAUACAGCAGCACGCCUUAAUGUGCUAUGUGCCGCAGGUAUCUGGAGAGAA